Molecule: ribosomal RNA, 301 nt
Filed under: uncultured bacterium
Lineage: Bacteria
Description: partial 16S ribosomal RNA
Rfam family: Bacterial small subunit ribosomal RNA
Source: RNAcentral
CAGCAGCCGCGGUAAUACGAAGGGUGCAAGCGUUAAUCGGAAUUACUGGGCGUAAAGCGUGCGUAGGCGGUUCGUUAAGUCUGUUGUGAAAGCCCCGGGCUCAACCUGGGAAUGGCAAUGGAUACUGGCGAGCUAGAGUGUGUCAGAGGAUGGUGGAAUUCCCGGUGUAGCGGUGAAAUGCGUAGAGAUCGGGAGGAACAUCAGUGGCGAAGGCGGCCAUCUGGGACAACACUGACGCUGAGGCACGAAAGCGUGGGGAGCAAACAGGAUUAGAUACCCCAGUAGUCCCUGUCUCUUAUAC